This 61-nucleotide transfer RNA is filed under the name Hyalella sp. 2015-x. Its description in RNAcentral is "tRNA-Pro". Lineage: Eukaryota; Metazoa; Arthropoda; Malacostraca; Amphipoda; Hyalellidae. The record is from RNAcentral.
CAAAAAGUAGUUUAUAUAAAAUAAUAGAUUUGGGUUCUAUAGAAAAUUAUUUUUUUUUUGA